Non-coding RNA from Nicotiana tabacum (common tobacco), 1784 nucleotides. The record is from RefSeq and is a predicted model, not a curated record. NCBI's taxonomy places the organism in Eukaryota, Viridiplantae, Streptophyta, Magnoliopsida, Solanales, Solanaceae.
ACACGUGUUUUCUAACUCUUCUUUUCUUCGUAUCCAUAGAAAUAGAAUGUGUUCCAAUAAUCCAUUUUUUACCGAGCUCUCUCUCUCUCUCUCUCUCUCUCUCUCUCUCUCUCUCUUCUCUUACAUCAUAUUCUUCCCGCUUCUGAUUUUUUUGUUUUCGAAAUUGUCAAGUUUAGUUCAAGAGUUUUGCUCAGCGCUACUGUAUAUAUUUAUGACUAACAGAUGACUUCAAAAGGACGUUCUUUGAGAGGUCCUGACGUUUAGGAGAUCUAGGCGGUCUACAAUGAGGUUGUUACAAAGCAUACCACAAGCAACCAUUGUAUUUGGCUAUCAAGAGUUUCACUACUGCUUCAGACAUCAAAAAAGAAAAAAAGGAAAUUCACUAUUGCUUCGGUGUACUAUUGUUAUGCUUAACUCUCCCCCAAGUUGAGUCUUCUGUUCUUUUGUUUUGUAUGCAAGGAAGAACUAAAGAGUAACUGGAUUAAAAGAAGAAUUCAUGAACUGCUCUCCAAGGCAGCCACUUAUGCAGCUUCUGUAUGUAGUCCAGGUCAAAAAGAACUGCAGUUUUGUCUUCUUCAGAAAACCAGACAGGUUUCUGGAAUCAGAUUGUAGAAGUGGUCAUGUUGCUGGUUUGCGCUUGGAGAGGACAAUUCUUAAAGGUACAUGUAUGUCUAGUGAUCUUUUGGGCGCAGAGGCGCAACUAUCGCGGGAACUUUCGAUUAUUAAAUGAGAAGGAGUGCUCAGAUUUUUCAAGCAGAUUAGUGAUCCUGAAUGAUAACACAAAAGUCAUGCAAGAUAUUCGGCUUUGCUAAUUAUGAUAUGGAGUUGCUCUCUCCUAUGAUGCAGCUUGGGAAUUGAAUUCUUUUUUCUGGCUGACGGCGAAAACUCUUUGAGGACUUGUUGGUGUGUUUGGUUGAGGUCCUGGGGGCGUCGGGUUGAUUUCGGAUGGUUAACGGAUCGAAAUUUAGACUUAGUGCAUUGCUGAAGCUGGGAGUCUACUGGUGUAAUCACACCUGCGGAGAUUUGAUCGCAUGUGGAGCUCGCAGGUGUGUGUUGUGUUGUGCAUAUGCGAUUUUGGAGGGGAGUGUGCAGUGGUCGCAGGUGCGCGGGAAUUCCCGCACCUGCAUGACCGCAUAUGCGGUGAUGGGAGCGUAGAAGCGGAAAUGGAGAUGAGAGCUGGGUCCGCACAAGCGGCUUUGUGGCUCGCAAAAGCGAGUCCGCAGGAGCGAAACCGUGGGCCGCAGGUGCGGAGGAAACUGCAGAAGCGGGCGAUGGGUCGCUCCUGCGACACCGCAGAAGCAGGUAAGUGGCCGGAGGUGCGAGAAGGCCUGGGCAGUGUUUUAAAAACGAGGGUUUCGUAUUUUUCUUCAUUUUGAACAUUUCAAGCUCGGGAAUUGGCGAUGUUUUAGAGGAUUUUCGAGGGCUUUCUUGAGAUUCGGGAUAUUUGGAGGCCGAUUCGCGAGGCAAGGGUAUGUUGGAAUAGAGAUUUGCGCGAUUUGAGAUCCAGGUAUUUUUGGACACGGUGGAUGUUGAUUUUCUUUGCGCAACUCGAUCGUUGGAGAUUCCAAGGUAGUUGCCCGGCGUUCGCAUACCUUGUCUCUCCUUUCCUAUCUUUCCGCUUAUUCUAUUUAGUUUCAGACUAUCAUAGACAAUAUUUUCCAGACUUAUGAUGUAUAGAUGCUCAUGUAUUCUGUGACAUCCCAAUAUUUGGGAACUUGCGCGUUGAGUUUUGGGUUUCUAUCCUGUUUAUGAGAACUUUUUAUUAUUUAAACUGCUUUAACUCA